UGAAAGACCUGUUCCUCUAGCCACCGGAAGUGACGCCAGCAGACAGCGCUCAACUGUCAGUCCCCACAGAGACUGCUUUGGCUGAAGAGAGUUGGUUACUGGCUGGUACGUGGGUAUAAAGUCCCAGCCUCCCAGCCCAAUUUAGGAUAACUCUACAGGGCCAUCCCAGCUCCAGAAGUCCCUGUUGAUUGGCUGAGGCCUCCCUUAAGGACUGCAGCAAAGCGCAGCUUCUCCCACUGCCCAGUCUUGCUUCUUUUACUUCCUUUCCAGAGGGGGACCCUGGAGGUACGCACAAACAUCAGCAGAGAGGAUGCUUCAAGUCUCACUGGAUUCCUUACAGCUGGGGGAGGAGUGAGCAUGAGCCAGAUGAGACCUGCACCAGGUGGAAUCAAGGAAAUUUCCAGCUAUGAGGGGGAGGGGGUCUCUGAAGAAUUUACAAAAUCAGCUAUGAAAAAAGGGUGAGCUUUAGCCAUUUGCCAAGUCCAAAGAGCACCAACAUCCAGCUCACAGCAGUGUCAAUCAAAUAAAGCCUUUCCUGCCCCCUCUCCCAGGGGUCUGAACCUGGAGAGGUUAGAAACCCGAGUUAGCAGUCGGAAGGGCUAGAACACAAGAUAGGCUAAGGGAGAAGAUGCCAACUCCACCUUUCCCUGACUUUAAAGUCUAAAACAGCUCCCCCAUCUCUUUUCAUUUUUCUUAUCACCUAAAAUCUCACCCUUCCCCCAAAUACUGUAACACUCUAUCUUUCCCAUUAUUUGGUGAGAUGCCCCACAGUUCCUCUGAUGUGUGGCCUCCAACGUCCCUUGCGGCAAAAAGUGAAAAGACCUCACCUUGUCUAAGGAUUGUCUCUGGUGGUCUCAGGCUGUAAAGCUUAAAGGUCUUGGCUGGUACUGUCCUGCUGGUCAUUCCAACUACAUGCAAACUUGGAGACACACAGUGAGAGGCACGUAGCAGACGCUCAAUACAUUUCUCAGAUUUCCCAAUUGCCUUCGUGGAGCGGGUGGGUCCCAAGCAGCAGCCGCGCAACUCGCCCCGCCCCAUUCCGCUGCCCCGCCCACCCCGUCCGGCUGC
Molecule: long non-coding RNA, 1068 nt
Filed under: Equus asinus (donkey)
Lineage: Eukaryota; Metazoa; Chordata; Mammalia; Perissodactyla; Equidae
Description: lncRNA (ENSEASG00005036146.1)
Source: RNAcentral